CUGGGGUAUGUUCUCACUUGUUUGCGUGAGAUGGAACGAGAAGGCACAUAAAUAUUUUGUGUUUGUGUUGUCAAAUGUUUGCAAAAGUUUUGACUCUUGAUUAUGACUCAGAACCUAAAAAAUUGAUCCAAAACAAAUGACGUCAGUGGUUGCAGUCGGCUGGAAUUACAGUCAUCCAAACAAUUCUUCGAUAUCCUGUUAUUGGUCUAUAACGAAUUUUUACGAUGGUCUAUUUAUAUUUCUACGUCAACGUCAGUUGGAGGAUUUAAAUGUACUCUACUCUUCACCACUCAUUCAAAACCAAAACAUGCAUUUUCCAUUUUUCUUCAGAAUAAAUUAAAAAUAGGGGAGUGCGUUUUUCAUGAUUAUUGAGUAUUGAGUUUGUUAAACAAGGUCAAAGUGUUGAAAAUGGAAGACCAUAUAAUUGAGGUUUUAAAAACUCCUAUAAAAAGUAAAAGUGAUAAAAAAGAAUACAAAAUUAUCAAACUGAAAAAUGGUUUAAUUGCAGUACUUAUAUCUGAUGUACAAAACCAAACAGAUUCAAAUGAAAUAAAUCAAGUAGAAACUGCUAAGGAAGAAAAAAUGGCAGCUGCCACAUUGCAAAUUAGGGCUGGAUGUUUAUGUGAUCCUGUAGAAAUCUUAGGACUUUCGCAUUUUCUGGAACAUAUGGUUUUUAUGGGCAGUGAGAAAUUUCCGGCAGAAAAUGAUUUUGAUUCCUUUAUUAGAAAAGGAGGUGGUAGUACUAAUGCCUAUACAGAUUAUGAAGAAACAGCAUUUUACUUUGAGUGCCUUGAAAAACAUCUUCCUGAAGCUUUAGAUAAAUGGUCACAGUUUUUUAUAGCUCCCUUAUUAAAAGAAGAUGCAUUGACUAGGGAAAGAGAAGCCGUGGAUUCAGAAUUUCAAAUGGCGUUACCAAACGAUGAAUGGAGAAAGUGGCAACUGUUAAUGAGGACAGCUAAAAAAGGUACAUGUGUACAGGUAAGCUUUCCAUGGGGUAAUUUGAAGACUUUAAAAGACAAUAUAUCUGAUGGUGAGUUGUACAAAAGUGUUCACGAACAUAGAAAGAGGUACUAUUCUUCACAUAACAUGACUUUAGCUGUACAAGCAAGACUCCCAUUAGACACACUAGAAGAUUAUGUCAAGGAUUUCUUUUCAGGUAUACCAAAUAAUAAUUUACCUAAACCUAAUUUUAGCGAGUUUGUUGAUGUUUUUGAUACACCUGAAUUUAACCGAAUCUACUAUAUUAAACCAUUAAAUGAAACAAUUCAACUAGAUCUUGUUUGGGCUUUACCAUCACAUAAAUAUGAAUAUAAGAGCAAACCAAUAAAAUAUUUAUCACAUUUGUUGGGUGAUGAAGGUAAAGGUAGUAUUUUGUCGUAUUUGAAGAAGCAUAUGUGGGCUUUGGCACUAACAUCAGGUUGUUCCUGUUCUGAGUAUGACAAUAACUCUCUUUUUAGCUUGUUUACUUUAAAUGUAGUAUUAACAGAAGAGGGGUUAAAACAUGUCUUUGAUGUUAUUGCAGUAAUUUUUGCUUAUAUCAAUCUUUUAAAAACAGAGGGUCCACAAGAACAAGUGUUUGAAGAGCUGAAAGUAAUUGCUGAUACAGAUUUUAGGUUUGAAACUCAAUAUUCGGCUAGUUAUACCACAAUUACACUUGCCACUAACUUGCAUGUAUAUCCUCCUGAAGAUGUCAUUUCUGCUAGUAAAAUAUACAUGGAAUAUAGAGAAGAUAAAAUAACUGAGGUAGUGAACAAGUUGACACCCAAAAAUGUAUACAUUGCUAUUACAACAAAAGUAUUACCAGAUGGUUUACAAUUCAACAAGAAAGAAAAAUGGUUACAAGCCGAAUACACAGACAUACAGAUUUCUGAGGAACUAUUAAGCAAAUGGGAGUUAGUGGUACCAUAUACUGAACUCAGUCUCCCUCCUCCUAACCCUUUUUUGACCAGCAAUUUUGAUUUACUACCUUGCACCUCCAAUCACCCUGAUUAUCCAGAAAAAUUAAUAGAUACAGACAAAUGUGAAUUAUGGUACAGACAAGAUCAAAAGUUUAAGCUACCAACAGCCCAUUUCUGUAUAUACCUCAUAAAUCCUGUUACCAUAGAAUCACCAAAAAAUUUUGCCUUAACUGAUUUGUUUGUUGAACUACUAUCAUUUGCUAAAUGUGAAGAGGUUUAUCCAGCUACUAUGGCCAGUUUGUGUGCAUAUUUUACAGCUGAAGACAGGGGAAUCACAGUGCAAGUAGAUGGGUUUAAUGAAAAGUUGCCAUUGUUAUUGGAAUUAAUGACAAAAUAUGUAUUAAAUUUGUCUGACCAUAUAAAUCAAGACAUAUUUAAUGGGGUUAAAGAAGAGACUUUAAAACAAUAUUAUAAUAGAGUAUUUCAAACCGAUUCUUUAGAAUAUGAACUUGAACAAAAACUGUUGAUUAGAAACUAUUUUUCUCCUUUAGAUACUUACAGGGAACUUUAUAAUCUUACUUUUGAUGAUAUGCUAGAUUUUAUUCAAAUUUUUCCAAAAAACCUUUAUGUUAAAUCUCUUGUUCAGGGAAAUGUUUCAGCAGAUGUAGCAUGUGACACCAUUAACAAGUUUAUUACAAGUUUGGAUUUUGAAGGAAUACCAAAAGAAAAAUAUCCCAAAUUGUAUGUACCACAGAUACCUCUUGGGGAAAAGUGUCUAUUUGUGGAAUCAUUUAAUAAAAAAGAUACCAAUUGCAUUACUUCAAAUUUAUACCAAGUAGGAUUGUUUUCUCUGCAAGACAUGGUUCUUAUGGACAUACUUAUGAGAAUAAUUGAUGAACCAUGUUACAACACUCUCCGUACAAAUUAACAACUAGGGUAUGCUGUAUCUACAUAUGGGCGUAGAGUGCAUGGUGUAUUAGUUUACUCCAUACAUGUUACCUCUCAGGUUAAUAAAUAUUCCACAGAAUAUUUAGAUUCCAGAAUUGAAGCAUUUUUAAAACAAUCUCAAAAACUAGUAGAUGAAACUACUGUUGAAGGUUUAGAGAAGAUUAAAGAGGAUUUAGUUAAAACAAAACAAGUCUGUGACCAUAAUUUAUCAGAAGAAGUGUAUAGGAAUUGGUUAGAGAUUAUCUAUGAUGAUUAUAUGUUUGAUAGAGCAAAA
RNAcentral lists this unclassified non-coding RNA (3120 nucleotides) under Diabrotica virgifera virgifera (western corn rootworm). RNAcentral's name for it is "nardilysin-like". Lineage: Eukaryota; Metazoa; Arthropoda; Insecta; Coleoptera; Chrysomelidae. The record is from RNAcentral.